UCACGCGUAUAAUCCCAGCACUUUAGGAGGACAAGGCGGGUGGAUCACUUGAGGCCAGGAGUUUGAGACCAGCCUGGCCAACAUGGUGAAACCCUGUCUCUACUAAAAACACAAAAAUUAGCUGGGCAUGGUGGCACAAGCCUGUAAUUCCAGCUGCUCAGGGGGCUGAGACACAAGAAUCUCGAACCGGGAGGCUGACGUUGCAGUGAGCAGAGAUGGUGCCACUGUACUCCAGCCUGGGCGACAGAGUGAGUCUCUAUCUCAAAAAAAAAAAGGAAACUGAGCAUAGAGAGAUUAAAAAACUUGUCCAAGGUCAUACGGCUAGAAAGUGACAGAGCCCGGAUUUGAACCCUGCCAGGAUGCCUUGAGAAUCUGUAAUCUUAACCAUUAUUCUCUCCUACCUUUCUUUUUUCUGACCUUUUCCUCUGCAGGUUAUUGUUCAAAACUACAACUCCAUUUUGACACUUUCUCACUUGUACCGAUCUUCAGACGCCCUCCUUCUUCAUGAGAAUGAUGCCAUCCAUAAGAUCUGUGCAAAACUGAUGAAUAUCAAGCAGAUCUCCUUUAGUGAUAUCAAUCAAGUCCUCGCACAUCAGCUGGGAAGUGUGUUCCAGCCUACUUAUUCUGCAGAAAGCUCAUUUCACUACAGACGAAAUCCACUAGGAGACUUAAUGGAGCAUUUAGUUCCCCAUCCUGAAUUCAAGAUGCUGAGCGUUCGUAACAUUCCUCACAUGUCUGAGAAUUCAUUGGCAUACACCACAUUUACUUGGGCUGGCCUCCUCAAGCAUUUGAGACAGAUGCUCAUUUCUAAUGCAAAGAUGGAAGAAG
RNAcentral lists this small RNA (828 nucleotides) under Pan troglodytes (chimpanzee). RNAcentral's name for it is "retained intron". Lineage: Eukaryota; Metazoa; Chordata; Mammalia; Primates; Hominidae. The record is from RNAcentral.